UUUUUUUUUUUUUUUUUUUUUUUUUCAGAUGGAGUUUCACUCUUGUUGCCCAGGCUGGAGUGCAAUGGUGCAGUCUCAGCUCACGGCAUGCAAACUCCGCCUCCCAGGUUCAAGUGAUUCUCCUACCUCAGCCUCCCAAAUCGCUGGAACUACAAGUGCCCGCCACCACGCCUGGCUAAUUUUUUUGUAUUUUUAGUAGAGACGGGGUUUCACCAUGUUGGCCAGGAUGGUCUUGAUCUCCUGACCUUGUGAUCCACCUGCCUCUGCCUCCCGAAGUGCUGGGAUUACAGGUGUGAGCCACCACGCCUGGUCCAACUUCAGCAGUUUUACAUUCCACAUAUAAGGAAGAAUGUGCAGUAUUUUUCUCCCUUUACCUGGCUUAUUUCACUUAGUAUAAUGUCUUCUAAGUUCAUCCACAUUAUUGCAAAGGUCAGGAUGUCUUUCUUUGUUAGGUUUGAAUAGUAUUCCAUGUCAUCUAUGUCUACCGCGUUUUCUUGAUCCACUCAUCAGUGGAUGAACACGUGGGCUCUUUUCAUGUGUUGGCUGUUGUGAAUAAUGGUGCAAUCAACAUGGGAGUGCAGAUAUCUCUUUCACAUUCUGACUUCAUUUCCUUUGGAUAUAUACCAGAAGGAGGAUUGCUGAAUCAUAUGGUAGUUCUGGUUUUAAUUUUUUGAGGAAAAUCCAUAAAUAUUUUCCAUAGUAGCUAUACCAAUUUACAUUCUCACUAGCAGAGUCCAAGGGUUCCAUUUUUACCAUAUCAUCAUCAACACUUAUCUGAUGUCUUUUUGAUCACAGCCAUUCUAUCAGGGAAAAUCAGGCAGGAUCUGGAAGUGGGGCAAGGGCUCAGGCGAGCACACACCUGCUCCCAGCUCAGCUGUAUCCUUUCCAGGCCGGCCUCUGUCAUCACAGGGUCCUGAGCUGAGGGCUGGGUGUUAGUGCAGCUCUCACAUAAAAAUCAUACAUUUUCCUAGGACAUUUUACUAGAUUUCAGGGAGAAAUUGAUUGCUUUUAUAUUAAAACAAAAGCUGAGAAUUGAGUCCAAGGCAAAACACAAAUGCUUCAUCAUUUUUAUGAGUUUACAAGGGGCACCAUCAGUGAUGAAGAGGCUUUUGCACCAUCAAUAUUCUGCUGGCCAAGCCUCUCUUGUCCCCUGCACAGCCCUUCAGGGAACCUGCUGCAGGUUCUUCUCCCUGUAAGAGCAGAAGCCCUGCAAUUCUUCUGGUAACCACCGGAGGGACACACAGCAAUUUGAGGAGCCAGGACUGAGCCUUGGGUCAGAGCUGAAACACCUGUGUGUGAGUUUCUCUGGCGCUCCUUGCCCUGAGCUGGCUCUUGCCUCAGUCACACCUGUGUUUCCGGGGAGACAAGCCCUGGAGUGUAAAAUCACAUCCAGGUGUCUAGGUGCAAGAGAGCAAAAGGGUUCAUUAAGAUGCCAUCUCUAAUCCAUUGCAGAGCAACUUGGAAGGUCAUGAGUCCUCCCAAGGGCUCUGGGGAGAGAGGUUGGAGGUGGCUUGGUGAUGCUGUGCGAUGAGCGUGAGGGAGGGCUCAGAUGCACCUGGGGCUGAGGUGUCCAGGGCUGCUGGACAGUGCGCUGGGCAGAGCUCUGGGAGCUGAGACUGCAUAGCCCGUGGAUUUGGCUGAGCAGUGGCCUCACACACAUGCUGGUUGUUGGAUGGUGAGCUUCAGGGUAGAAUGAGGGCCUGAGGGUCAAGGCAGAUGCAUUGUGUAGAUUCUAGAACACAGCAGGACAAUGCCAGUGAUGACAGCUAGCUGUGACGGAGACCCGUGAUAAGAAUGUCAAUUACAGUCACAAUCCAGCAGGAAUUGUGGCUGUCCUGGGCAGCACUGUUGCUUAUCUUUCAUGACCCUCAUGGGCAUUGAAAAUUUCCUAAAUUAUAUUUUCCCUUGGCACUUGCUGGACAAAACGUCCUCCAGAUCUUUCCAACACUGGGACACAAUCCCACUGAGAACACUGGGACACAAUCCCACUGAGAACAGGGGCGGCCAGCGAGGACGCUGCAGCGGAGGAUGAGGGCAGCCCCUUGUGCGGUGCAAUCCAACAUCUAUCCACGGUCCUUUGCUUCACCCCUAAAAGUGGAGUUUCAUGUUUUCUUCUCAACUGUAUGGAUGUGGAUUUGGGUAGAACAGUGGUGUUCCAAUUAUUUUCCUACAAGUGAGGAGAGCCCAAGGUUCAUCCUUGGCCUCACAGGUGGCCAGCACCCAGCCAAGGGCCCAGGCGGCAACAGCCCAAUCAGAGGUACUGGGACUCAGGGACCCAAAAGAGGGCCUGGGGCUGGGGCUGGCAGGCCGUGCAGCAGCCUCACGCCUGGGACCCCUUCCUGUCCAGAUUCUUGUUUUGCUCUCUGUGUCUCCCCUGUCUCACCCCCUGCAAAUCUCUGUUCUGCUGCUCUGAAUUCAGGGACCAUGGUGAGGCUCUGAAGCCUUUUCUGUGCAGGAAGGAGUUUGAGUGAGUGUGUAACAAUGGCAAUUUGAUUAAUGUAUGAUCAUCCGUCUGUAGCGGUCUGUUCUCUGCCAGGUGCUUCAGGCUGGGGGUGCCUCACUGU
Macaca mulatta (Rhesus monkey) is the source of this 2564-nucleotide long non-coding RNA. The record is from Ensembl. NCBI's taxonomy places the organism in Eukaryota, Metazoa, Chordata, Mammalia, Primates, Cercopithecidae.